This 74-nucleotide transfer RNA is filed under the name Candidatus Niyogibacteria bacterium RIFCSPLOWO2_12_FULL_41_13. RNAcentral's name for it is "tRNA-Pro". It matches the Rfam family "tRNA". Rfam says of the family: Transfer RNA (tRNA) molecules are approximately 80 nucleotides in length. Their secondary structure includes four short double-helical elements and three loops (D, anti-codon, and T loops). Further hydrogen bonds mediate the characteristic L-shaped molecular structure. tRNAs have two regions of fundamental functional importance: the anti-codon, which is responsible for specific mRNA codon recognition, and the 3' end, to which the tRNAs corresponding amino acid is attached (by aminoacyl-tRNA synthetases). tRNAs cope with the degeneracy of the genetic code in two manners: having more than one tRNA (with a specific anti-codon) for a particular amino acid; and 'wobble' base-pairing, i.e. permitting non-standard base-pairing at the 3rd anti-codon position. Lineage: Bacteria; Candidatus Niyogiibacteriota. The record is from RNAcentral.
CGGGCUGUAGGAUAACGGCAGUCCUUACCCUUGGGGUGGGUAUAGUCCGGGUUCAAUUCCCGGCAGCCCGACCA